Macaca mulatta (Rhesus monkey) is the source of this 3659-nucleotide non-coding RNA. The record is from RefSeq and is a predicted model, not a curated record. Lineage: Eukaryota; Metazoa; Chordata; Mammalia; Primates; Cercopithecidae.
GAGUAGCUGUGACUACAGGUGUGCACCACCAUGCCUAGCUGCAAAUUUAGUUUUAAACCUUUUGGGAUAAUGAUCUACACAUUAUCCACACCGUUUUGAAAGCUGAUUGCCCCCUGGUCCCUUCCCCAUAUGAUAAAUCACAAAUACUUUUCAAUGACCAAAGAGUAUUCUCUGAAAAAAAAAAAUAUACAGUAGCUUAGUCAGUUAAUCAGUCCCUAAUUUUGAACAUUUAUAAUUAUUAUAAGCAAUAUUGCACAUCCCUGACUAUUUACUAAGAAUAUAUUCAGAGAAGUAGAAUUAUGGGGUCAAAUCAUAGAAACAUUUUGAUACAUUCUGUUAAAUUGGCUUUUCAAAUAAUUUUACUGAUUUCCAUUUCCAUAAGCAGCAUAUGAGAAUAUCAAUAUUGAUUCAUCUUAGUGAGCGCUGGGCAUUAUCACAUUUGUAACAUAUCAUCUCUUAUGAAUGAAUGAAGGAAUGAAUGACAAGAGCCUUUCCUGGGAGGGAUAAUGUCUCCUUGAGAUGCUGCUGUCACACUGCCACUCUCCUUGUGACCAGCUCAGAUCCCCUGCCUGUGCAAAUGUGCGUGUUGCCCAGGAGGGGAGAUGGGGAGGUGAGGGUAGGGGGCUGACUUCCAGGAUAUUUCAGUAUGGCUUUUAGACCUCAGCCAAGUCUGUGAAGUGACCGUGCAGCCAAAGUAAUCACCCUUCCUUGGGCCGGGUUAAUGUGCUCCUCCCUUGCUGCUUGGAUCAAUACUGUACUUACUGCAGAUUAGCUAAAUGAGCCAGCGCAGCUGGGAAUGAGCUUCUAGAGACAAUUACUAUGGAAAAUGCAGCCAUAUUUUAGUGGGCACCGCAUGCAUGAGGCUCUUUGCAAAUAUCAAUAUAUAUUUGCUUGCUUGACAAAAAUAGAUCAAACCUAAGUCCGGAGAUUAAUCCAAAUGAUCAGAGUGUACAUGCUUCUUGUUGUACAAAGUGUGGCAGAACCCGACCUUUUCCAUGGUGGCUAUUGUUCGGAUGGUGCUGGAAGUAACCCAAAAUGGGCUAGUGGUUGGCCCAUGAGAUUGUCUGCAAGUUUAUUGCAGGUACAAAUAGUAAUGAGGCUGCUUAUGGUGAUAAUCAUUUAUCUCACUUGAUCUUCACCACAACCUUGCAAUGCUCACUAAAUGUUUAUUUAAUAAAUUCAUUCAUUCGCUUAACAAAUAGUGACUGAGUAGCCUUUGUGUACAGGGCCGUGUUCUAGAUGCUGGAAGAAGUAGGGCCCUUUUCAGUGGAACUUGCAGCCUGGUAGGACAAGAGUGAUAAUAAACAAGGAAGCCAUGUGCGUGGAAAAGUAAUCACGCACUGAGGCAAGUGCUGCAAAGAAAGACAGUGCCAUGUAAAGAAAAUAUAUAGGGUGGCGGUGCUUAAUUUCAAAAGGGGGGUUGGAGAAGGCUUCUCCGAGGGGGCGACAUUGAGGUUGAGAUUUGAUGGAUGAGAAGGAGUGAGCUAGGACAAGAGAAGAAGAGAGACAGUGUUCUUGGCGGAGGGACCUUCUUGUGCAGAGGGAGUGAGCUGGGAACCAGACCAGCAGUUCCAAGGAACAGAGAGGCUGCCAUGCAGGGCUGGAGCGGGAUGAACAAGGCAAGAACAGGCAAGAACAGCACGCCAUCCAGUGGGAGAAGCAGACAGCGGCCAGGCCACACAGAGCCCUGCAGGGCACGCUGGCAGAGCUGCUUGAAACGAAGCCGUUCCCUGAAAGGCACACGUGAAUUUCCCCUGCGGAAAAUUCAAACAGACACACUUGAGGAUUUCCACUAAAUUCUCUCCGGCCCCCAGAGCACUGGGGAAGCGUGUGAGACCUGUGCCAUCCCAGAACUGUGGCGACAAUGGUAGUUAACGUCCAUCAUCCGCAGGCACCUUCAGGAUGAGGAGCGUGCAGAGAUGACUCACGCCCACACCGGUGACCUCCAACACACCAGGGAAGGCAGGAAAAGGCUGUGUGCCAGGAUCUUGUUCUGGGCUAGAAAAGUACGCCUGUUCAUUACCCGACCUUUGCUAAGUACACCAACUAAUGGAGCGAGAGACAUGAAAGAUCUUCACAGGCCAUGUGGAAAUGUAAUUCAAACCCAGCCUGAGGAGGUCACAGUGUUCAGCAAGUAAACAUGGAGCCUGCUGAAGCUGGGAAUGCGAAGUGUGCAAGAAGCCUCCCUGUGGGAACCUACGGCUCAGCAGGGAGAUGUGAAAUAGCUGGAAAUGCCGGCUACACAGUGUAAAGGGCGUGCCACCUUGGGAUGGGGUCAGAAACAGAGGAGAGGGGAGAUCCUGGCCAGCAGGGGUGUCACAGAGGCUUUUUAGAGGAGGGGGCCCUGGAGCUGAACUUUGAGACCAGCAGCAUUCGAACACAUCCAUGGGUCUCCCUUUCAGAUUUCAGUGCCCUCUUGGCCUUGGGCUGAUGAGCUAAGUUGCUACUGGAGGAUGACUUUUCACGGGAAAUUCAGAAACCCAGUCAUCAAUGUUGGACUACCCUGCCACCAAGUCCCUCCAUUGCCCUGGCUUGGUGUGGCUGCAAGAAGUCAUCUGUUCAGGCUCCUCCUACCUCCUCCACACACUCACCUCCCUCAGAUUCAGAACAGCCAAUGCUGCCCUCUGAGGUCUGCCCCUUUGCACAGGCCUUGCCCACAUCCAGGCUCCUGGAUUCCUCAGAAGCUGGCUCCUGGGGCCUGUCCAGCAAGGCUUGGAAGCCCGGAUCCCCAAAGACCUGCUAGUUAAUGAGUUCUGCAAAAACUAGGUCUGCCUGUAAUCGAAAUGGGAGUACAAGGCUCGCACAGUCCCUGAAUUAAUUCAGUCCUGUUAGAAAGGGAGCAAGGCAGAGUUUCUGCUGCUGUCUGCAGGACCCAUGGAGGGGUCUGUGCACUGUUACUUCCAUUUGGGGACCCAUUGUUUUCCAUCGCUUCAGCACAAUCUGGGAAACAUUCUCCAAGUCUAUUGUUCCUGUCUCCUGCUGCCACACUGAGGCAGUUGUUAACAAUGCCCUCUGCCCACCCCGGACCCCUCCUCCAUUUAAAUACCAGUCUGAUGGGCAAAAAGAGCAUUUAAUGACUGCUCCAGACUAAAAAGUUCCUAUUAUUUUAUUCCCUUCUUACUCCUGCCCAAUUUCCUUCCACAUGGGGACAGGUGGGUAUAAAAUAAAUGGAGCUGGAAUUACAAUCACAAGAAGACAGGUGGGGAAAUUGAAUGUGGUUAGAAAAUUUGUCCGUGCGCCUACAGGUGUGUCUCCUGAGGUCUUGCAGGGUACCACCAUCCCCCUCCCCCAGCCUGGCCAUUCUUCAAAUGGUCUGGGAAUGGGGAAUAUGAGUGGCCGAGACUUCCCCUCCCAUUGGAGUCGUCUGAGUAUCCAGGCAGAAGGAAAGGAGACAUUUGGCAAGGGGGCUCUUAGAAUGGCAGCCUUGAAGAGGUGCAGGCAGUGCUGAACUGACACUACCUUCACCAUCAGGUGUUGGGCCCCCAGUACUAUACCACAGAGUCUUUAUGCCUUCCUUCUGGAUUCUCUUCUUUCCUCUCCUUACUCAGAUGCCGCCCCCAUUGGGAAGUCUUCCUUGAUUACCCCAGAGUUAGUUUCUCCGUGCUUUCUGCUCCUCUCUCUUUGUAUCCCUAUUAAACGUGUUAUUGGUCUAUGAUGUU